CCCCGCGCCCCGGGCCUGUCGGCCUCCGCCGCGCCUCCCGGGCGGGUGGCUUGGGCAGGGGCCGCCGUCUCCCGCUAGAGGGACCCGGGCUGCCUCGGCGACCGUCUCGCCCCAGCGGACGGCAAGCGCCUCCGGAGCCGGGACGGCGUCCUCGGCAUUUAGGUCUGGCGCGUAGUGGGGCCUUGCGAGAGGCUGCCAAGGGGAGGGAGGCCGAGGUGGCGCGGGCCUGGCGCUUAGCGGGUGCGCCCCGAAUGUCUGCGGGCCUUGGGGACCUGCCGGCGGGCUUGGGGCGGGGAGGGCGCAGGCUGACGCGUCGCCGCUGGGAGAACCUUGAGACCCGCCGCGAGCAGAGCGGAGGACCGGCCAGCCGGCGGCCGGGGCUGGAACUGGGAGCCGAGUGACUGGGGGAGCCCCGGCCGUGCAAGCCUGAGAUAACAGAUUGAACUUCAGACAAGGCCGGACUACCCUGUUAACCAGAGGCAACUUUUCAGUUGAAUGAACAGAAGCACAGACUACAAUGAAAGGGGAAAUGUAUCUUGAUUGUGACAGUACACAGAGCCGUCUUACCCACCCCUGUUGGAAUACAAUAGGAACAGUAGGUACCACCCCUUUCUUCUACGCCCAAACCAAUGAGAAGAUGAAAAUAACUCCAUCACCCAUGGAGCUGAACUGAAGAAUGUGGCUUUCCUGAUGACUUGUAGACUAUUUAAUAUUCCCUGACUUAAAAUUAUCUCCCCCAAAACUCCAACCUUCACCUCGAGGGGGCCCAGCCACUUUAACUGUCUGAUUAGAGAAGAUUGCCCUCUCUGAGGGCAGACGGAUCCAAAUUCACCAAUGAGAUCUCCUGUGCUACCUCCCACUGGCUGUACCCAAGAAGAAGCCUGAGGGCAAAUGAGCACAGAUGACAUUGCCCUUCAAGGCCAGCGUCUGGAAAAAGAUGGAGGGUAGAUCUGGAAGGACAAAGGCAGAGCAUGUAGCAGACAGGCAGAAAAGCCGACACUACUGAGGGAGAGGAAUUCCUGCCAGCUCUGAGGAAAGGAAGAAAAGACUCGGAAGAGAGGUGAUUUCAAAGUAACUGCCUAAAGAACAGACCUCAUUUCUUCUUGCCGAGCUCCCACAAGCAGGGAACACAGAGAAAGCCGAAACCAAACCACAGCCCAAAGGGAACUGCGCAGCGUUACGUUCAGGUCACAAGCUGGGGCCAGAGACAGAAACUGAGAGCUGCGGUGAGUAACUGGGCCAACAGGACCCAAGGUCAGGAUACAGGGCGCAGGCCCUGCUGCCUCACCGAAGUCCCAGCCCCAGAGGUCACACCAAAGGCAGAGGGAAAAAUGCCAGGGUUCAAGGGCAUCUCGCAGACCAGGAAAGGACUGAAAAAAACAGCGCUGAGCAGAAGAGAGGUAAACACCUGGCCCCGCUUGCAAACUGACUUUUACAUGCGCACAAGUGUGAUGUAAGAAAAUAAAAAAAAUUAAAAAGGG
This is a long non-coding RNA of Suricata suricatta (meerkat), 1481 nucleotides long. RefSeq lists it as uncharacterized. NCBI's taxonomy places the organism in Eukaryota, Metazoa, Chordata, Mammalia, Carnivora, Herpestidae. The transcript is spliced from 5 exons. The record is from RefSeq and is a predicted model, not a curated record.